RNAcentral lists this transfer RNA (79 nucleotides) under Schizophyllum commune Tattone D. Its description in RNAcentral is "tRNA-Ala". It matches the Rfam family "tRNA". Rfam says of the family: Transfer RNA (tRNA) molecules are approximately 80 nucleotides in length. Their secondary structure includes four short double-helical elements and three loops (D, anti-codon, and T loops). Further hydrogen bonds mediate the characteristic L-shaped molecular structure. tRNAs have two regions of fundamental functional importance: the anti-codon, which is responsible for specific mRNA codon recognition, and the 3' end, to which the tRNAs corresponding amino acid is attached (by aminoacyl-tRNA synthetases). tRNAs cope with the degeneracy of the genetic code in two manners: having more than one tRNA (with a specific anti-codon) for a particular amino acid; and 'wobble' base-pairing, i.e. permitting non-standard base-pairing at the 3rd anti-codon position. The record is from RNAcentral. Lineage: Eukaryota; Fungi; Basidiomycota; Agaricomycetes; Agaricales; Schizophyllaceae.
GGGCGCUUGGCACAGGGGUAGCGCGCACGCUUCGCAUUUCGACUGCGUGAGGUCGUGGGUUCAAAUCCCACAGUGUCCA